GGACGUCAUGGAGGGUGAGAAUCCCGUGUGGCGAGGGUGUUAGUUCUUUGUAAAGGGUGCUCCGAAGAGUCGAGUUGUUUGGGAAUGCAGCUCUAAGUGGGUGGUAAAUUCCAUCUAAAGCUAAAUACAGGCGAGAGACCGAUAGCGAACAAGUACAGUGAUGGAAAGAUGAAAAGAACUUUGAAAAGAGAGUGAAAAAGUACGUGAAAUUGUUGAAAGGGAAGGGCAUUUGAUCAGACAUGGUGUUUUGCGCCCCUCGCUCCUUGUGGGUGGGGGACUCUCGCAGCUCACUGGGCCAGCAUCAGUUUUUGCGGCAGGACAAAACCUUGGGAAUGUAGCUGUGCGCCUCGGUGUACAGUGUUAUAGCUCUUGGGAAUACUGCCAGCGGGAGACUGAGGACUGCUAUUAUCUUGUUUAUCUAGGAUGCUAGCAAAAAUGGUUAUAUGCCGCCCG
Molecule: ribosomal RNA, 453 nt
Filed under: Nakaseomyces nivariensis
Lineage: Eukaryota; Fungi; Ascomycota; Saccharomycetes; Saccharomycetales; Saccharomycetaceae
Description: eukaryotic LSU rRNA
Rfam family: Eukaryotic large subunit ribosomal RNA
Source: RNAcentral